RNAcentral lists this ribosomal RNA (510 nucleotides) under uncultured bacterium. RNAcentral describes it as "bacterial SSU rRNA". It matches the Rfam family "Bacterial small subunit ribosomal RNA", at positions 29 to 518 of the family's 1533-position model. The record is from RNAcentral.
AUGAACGCUGGCGGCGUGCUUAACACAUGCAAGUCGAACGCGAAAGGGACUUCGGUCCUGAGUAAAGUGGCGCACGGGUGAGUAACGCGUAGAUAACCUGUCUUCAUGUCUGGAAUAAUACGCCGAAAGGGGUACUAAUACCGGAUAUUCUUGCUUUUCAUAAGUUAUGCAAGCAAAGGUGGCCUCUGCAUAUGCUACUGCAUGAAGAGGGGUCUGCGUACCAUUAGCUAGUAGGUGGGGUAAUGGCCUACCUAGGCGACGAUGGUUAGCGGGUCUGAGAGGAUGAUCCGCCACACUGGCACUGGAACACGGGCCAGACUCCUACGGGAGGCAGCAGUGAGGAAUAUUGCGCAAUGGGGGAAACCCUGACGCAGCGACGCCGCGUGAGUGAAGGAAGGCCUUCGGGUCGUAAAGCUCUGUCAAGAGGAAAGAAGUGUACAAUGGCUAAUACCUGUUGUAUUUGACGGUACCUCUAAAGGAAGCACCGGCUAACUCCGUGCCAGCAGCGGC